AACGAACGCUGGCGGCAGGCUUAACACAUGCAAGUCGAACGCACCUUUCGGGGUGAGUGGCAGACGGGUGAGUAACGCGUGGGAAUCUACCCUUCUCUACGGGAUAGCUCCGGGAAACUGGAAUUAAUACCGUAUACGUCCUGAGGGAGAAAGAUUUAUCGGGGAAGGAUGAGCCCGCGUUGGAUUAGCUAGUUGGUGGGGUAAAGGCCUACCAAGGCGACGAUCCAUAGCUGGUCUAAGAGGAUGAUCAGCCACAUUGGGACUGAGACACGGCCCAAACUCCUACGGGAAGCAGCAGUGGGGAAUAUUGGACAAUGGGCGCAAGCCUGGUCCAGCCAUGCCGCGUGAGUGAUGAAGGCCCUAGGGUUGUAAAGCUCUUUCAGUGGGGACGAUAAUGACGGUACCCACAGAAGAAGCCCCGGCUAACUUCGUG
Molecule: ribosomal RNA, 433 nt
Filed under: uncultured bacterium
Lineage: Bacteria
Description: partial 16S ribosomal RNA
Rfam family: Bacterial small subunit ribosomal RNA
Source: RNAcentral